UACAGAGGUCUCGAGCGUUAGGCGGAAUCACUGGGCUUAAAGCGUGUGUAGGCGGAUCGUUAAGUGCCUUGUGAAAUCCCACGGCUCAACCGUGGAACUGCUUGGCAUACUGGCGGUCUUGAGCAACCUAGGGGCGAGCGGAACAAAUGGUGGAGCGGUGAAAUGCGUAGAUAUCAUUUGGAACGCCAAUGGUGAAAACAGCUCGCUGGGGGUUUGCUGACGCUGAGACGCGAAAGCGUGGGGAGCAAACAGG
RNAcentral lists this ribosomal RNA (253 nucleotides) under uncultured bacterium. RNAcentral describes it as "partial 16S ribosomal RNA". It matches the Rfam family "Bacterial small subunit ribosomal RNA", at positions 524 to 776 of the family's 1533-position model. The record is from RNAcentral.